RNAcentral lists this non-coding RNA (21 nucleotides) under Caenorhabditis elegans. Lineage: Eukaryota; Metazoa; Nematoda; Chromadorea; Rhabditida; Rhabditidae. The record is from RNAcentral.
UAUAAUCAAUUUUGUCUAAUU